This 460-nucleotide ribosomal RNA is filed under the name uncultured bacterium. RNAcentral describes it as "partial 16S ribosomal RNA". It matches the Rfam family "Bacterial small subunit ribosomal RNA", at positions 338 to 795 of the family's 1533-position model. The record is from RNAcentral.
CCUACGGGAGGCAGCAGUGAGGAAUAUUGGUCAAUGGGCGCAAGCCUGAACCAGCCAAGUCGCGUGAGGGAAGACGGCCCUACGGGUUGUAAACCUCUUUUGCCGGGGAGCAAGCCUGAGCACGUGUGCCCAGGUGGAGAGUACCCGGAGAAAAAGCAUCGGCUAACCCGGUGCCAGCAGCCGCGGUAAUACGGAGGAUGCGAGCGUUACCGGGAUUUAUUGGGUUUAAAGGGUGCGCAGGCGGGCUGUUAGGCCGGCGGUAAAGAUUCAGGGCUAAACCCUGUGGAGCCGACGGAACUGGCAGCCUUGAGUGGGCGAGAGGGAGGCGGAAUGCGUGGUGUAGCGGUGAAAUGCAUAGAUAUCACGAAGAACGCCGAUUGCGAAGGCAGCAUACCGGCGCCCGACUGACGCUGAGGCACGAAAGCGUGGGGAUCGAACAGGAUUAGAUACCCCUGUAGUC